This 506-nucleotide ribosomal RNA is filed under the name Bradyrhizobiaceae bacterium D188a. Its description in RNAcentral is "bacterial SSU rRNA". It matches the Rfam family "Bacterial small subunit ribosomal RNA", at positions 32 to 582 of the family's 1533-position model. The record is from RNAcentral. Lineage: Bacteria; Pseudomonadati; Pseudomonadota; Alphaproteobacteria; Hyphomicrobiales; Nitrobacteraceae.
AACGCUGGCGGCAGGCUUAACACAUGCAAGUCGAACGGGCGUAGCAAUACGUCAGUGGCAGACGGGUGAGUAACGCGUGGGAACGUACCUUUUGGUUCGGAACAACACAGGGAAACUUGUGCUAAUACCGGAUAAGCCCUUACGGGGAAAGAUUUAUCGCCGAAAGAUCGGCCCGCGUCUGAUUAGCUAGUUGGUGAGGUAAAGGCUCACCAAGGCGACGAUCAGUAGCUGGUCUGAGAGGAUGAUCAGCCACAUUGGGACUGAGACACGGCCCAAACUCCUACGGGAGGCAGCAGUGGGGAAUAUUGGACAAUGGGCGAAAGCCUGAUCCAGCCAUGCCGCGUGAGUGAUGAAGGCCCUAGGGUUGUAAAGCUCUUUUGUGCGGGAAGAUAAUGACGGUACCGCAAGAAUAAGCCCCGGCUAACUUCGUGCCAGCAGCCGCGGUAAUACGAAGGGGGCUAGCGUUGCUCGGAAUCACUGGGCGUAAAGGGUGCGUAGGCGGGUCU